Molecule: long non-coding RNA, 2360 nt
Organism: Quercus lobata
Lineage: Eukaryota; Viridiplantae; Streptophyta; Magnoliopsida; Fagales; Fagaceae
Exons: 6
Source: RefSeq, a predicted model, not a curated record
UAAGCGCCCUUUUGGCUUUUCAUUUUCCCUUCGUUAGCUCUAAGAAACCCCCCUCCCCACACACACACACACACUCUCUCUCUCUCUCUAUCAAAAUCUCUUUCACUCUUAAAAUCUCCAAUCCUCAGCACAUGCCAAACCCACCCAACUCACUAGAGAUCGAACUCGACAGAGACCCACUGCUUCUCACGUCGUUGCCAAUCUCCAACAACAUCCAAGCCCAACCUAGAAUCUUAGUGAUAAUGAUGAUGAUGAUGAUGAUGAUGAUGGGAAAGUAGUUCUUGGUGAAGUUGUCACUAUUGGUUGUUCUGACUGUGGUGUUGUGCUUUUAAAGAUUGCAAAAAGAAGAGGCAUUACAAGUUCGUGUAAUCAAAGCAAGUGAAUUUGUUUGUGUUAGACUUAAGCGAAAAUAUUCUGUCCUUGGUGAUCCUACUACAUAUGUGACUUUGAAGAAAUUUACUUUACAGAAAAUUGGGAAGGCUUGGAGGGAUCAUAAGUGUAGGUUGAAAAGUAAGCAUUACAUAUCGGAUGCAAGAAAAAAAGCACGGGUAAAGAACAAUCGAUCAAAGGGAUGCAUACCAGAAGAUUGGGAUGUACUUGUUGAGCGUUGGUAUACGAAUAAUGUAGUGAUAGAGUCAGAGAAGAAUAAGGACUGUCAUUCUAAGCAGGAUGAGUUACAUAUCGCUGGUUCUUGUAGCUAUGUUGUACAUGCAACAAGAAGGUAAUAAGUAUUAUGACUAAUUUUUAAAUGAUUUUGACUUCUCCUAAGUUUCUGUGAAACCAAUAUUCAUCACUACAUAAAUAUGUUGUUCAUGCAAUGUAGGCAAAAACGGAUGGACGUCUUGUAGAGUAUGCAGAAUUAUAUCCAAUAUUGCAUAAUCGUAAAGAUGGAUCAGUAGUUAAUCCCGCAGUGAAAGAAAAAAUGGACAAAAUGAAGGAAUUGUUGGCUAACCCUGCAAAUUACUUGCAGUCAUCUAACACAAGUGGUAGCAUUGCAUGGUCAACAGAUGAUGUGUUUGUCAAAGUGAUGGGCAAGGAGCGCAAAGGUCGUAUAUGUGGGGUAGGAUUUGGUCCAAGCCCAGGUGGUCAAAGUAGUAAGAGUGCUCUAGGAUAGUCAAAUACAAUCAAGUCAAGCAAGGGACGACGAAGUUGCACAACUGAAGGCUUUCUUGGCUACUAUGCAGGAGAAAAUGGCAUGUCUUGAUGAAAUGAAGGUAAAACUUAGUCAAUGCAAAGAUGUGGAGCAAAGAAUGGCUUGCAUGCUUCAACAACUGCAACAAUUUUCUUCAUAAUGCAAUCAGGUAUGAUAAAUGACUUUUAGACUGUCAUAAAAUUAAUUUGGCUGAAUAUGUUUGAAAUUUCAUUGACAAAAAAGAGUAGGUUUCCUAUGCUAUUGGGAUAAAUUUUGAACACCUAUUGGCUUAAGGAUAGCUUUUAGUUGUUGAGAUGAUAGAAAAAGGAGGGAACUUUUUGAGGGAUUUUUUAUUUUUAUUUUUUAGAUGGAGAAAAGUAUCUCUAGUUUUGUUUUUGUGGUAUUUGGAAGUUGUAGAUAUUGAGGAAGGUUGUUUGUAGUUUCUAGUUGUCAAAAAGGAGGGAUUUUUCUUGGGUUUCCAGACUCUGUUGUUGGGAGUUCUUGUUGCUAGAGUUUUGGAGGGUUGAGUUGGCUGUGUUUGAGUGGGAAAGGAGUUACCUUUUCCAAAAGCUUUUCAGCAUGCCAACCAAUGUGUCAAAUUUUUUUAGUUUUUGUUUUAUUUAAUUCCCCUGCAAUGCUUUUACAAUAGGCACAAUAUAACCUAGACUGAAGAAAGACUUCACAAUGUACUCACUACAAUGCCUUUGAGAUUGAUUACUAUUUGGUUCGUGUUAUUGUUCCUUGAGAGAAUUGUAUGAGCAAGUUGAGGUACAUAAUGACCAGCAUAGCUUUCUCUAGUUAUAAAGAAAUCUCUAUUUCUUUGCCUUGGUAAUAUUUUCUUGUCAUUCUAUUCCAUUUAUAUGCACUUAUUGAGUAAUCGUACUUUGUAUGUACGAUGUUCCUCCGAUCCAACAAUCUCCACCUUUCCAAAAUUCAUCAGCUGCAUCCCAUCAACAAAGAAACUUAUAAGUUUUAUCUUGGUAUUCGAGGACUUUUUUGUUAACAAAGAACUUCAUUUGAACAACCGCAUUUUUUGCAAGUGUUGAAGGAUAUUUUUAAACACUUUGGAACUUUGAUUAUGGUAUUAGCUUGAUUUGAGCGGUUGUUUUAUUCAAAGGACCACAUCAUUUUUUGUUAAUCUUAUGAUGAUGGUUAUAGAAAAUGUUAUGUAUUUGAUAUUAUAUUUCUAUGUUAAUAUUAUGUUAGUUUGGAGACAUUUAUGGUGUUA